GAUCUAUUUCGUUAUUUUAAGGACUAAGGAAGUGCAGGGACGGACCCAGGAGAAUUUUUUCGUGCGGGCGAGAUUAAUAAAGGUAAAAAGUUGUUGUACUUUUCGUUAAGCACUAACUUAGGUUGUUAUUUUUAAUAUUUACCAAAAGUUGAAUUUUUUUGUUGAGCACAUUUCUUUCAUAUUUGUGUAACUUGCCCAAAAAUAAACCAAUACUAUAAAUGGGCAGCUCAUAUAAAAACUCCAUAGAAAUUACAACCUAAACACAGCCUUAAUUAGGUCCUACAUUCUAGGUUUUAGACGGCAGAAGAGAGCAAAGGAAGAGGACAGCAAAAGCUUGAAGGCUCUUAUGGGUUCUUUCUUCUAGCAAAGGAAGAGGACAACAAAAGUUUGAAACUCUUACGGGUUCUCUCUUCUAUCUCUUUUCAUUUCCUAUGAUUUUCACUUUUUCCCUUUAGUUUUUCAAUAUGAGCAACCACAAUAGCUUUAAUAUGGCAGAUCUUAGUGCUGUUAAAAAAAUUUCCCCAAAGUUCAGUGCGAACAGAGCCCACAUUGGUCCACUAUUACGCGUUUUCUAUAAUAUGAUUUAUACCGCAAGUGUACACUGUUAAAUUUUGUAAUAUGAUAAUGGAGUUAGAGUAUCGAACCUAUAAGGAUUAUAAUUUAAUUUUAUGCUAAAUACUAUAAUUGUGUAGCUCUUAUUUUAUCUAGAAGAAUGAAAUUUGGAAUUAAUAGUUUUAAAUAAGUUAACAAUAUAAAUAUGGUGACAGACUCAACAAAUAAUUGCGAGUUAGAAGAAUAAUCAAGAUGAGAAAGUUGAGGGUUAUGAUUUCACUUAACUAUCAAAUAUGAUUCUCAAUAUUAUUUUUAAUCAAUUUUUCGAAGUUUAUAAGCAAUAACUCAAAUGUAUUUCUAUACCCUCUUUUGAGUACAGGCUAGAAAUUAAUUCUAGAUUUCAAUUUCAAUAUCUCUAUUCUAAAUUAAAAUUAAGAAUUUAUCAAGUCCAUGAUUCUUUUAUAGAGUAAGCUUCAUAGCUUCUAUACUUUCUCUCGAAACCCAUAAAAUUUACAUUGUUUUAAUCUUAUGAACGAACCUAACUUUCUCUCUCUCGAGUAUCAGAAUUGACUAGCAUCUAAUCAUUUAAUUAGUGGUCGAUUAAUUGAAUACAGUAAAAUCAUAACACAAAUAAACGGACUGGAAAAUUUCAUAGAAAUAACUAAAUAAAUUCAAAUCAUACUCUCAAGUUUUGGCUAAUCAAACCCUAGAAGAAUUAUUUAGUUCAAGAUAGAAGCCAUAAAAAUAAUCAAAUUCAAAUAAACAAAAUAGAGGAGAAUAGUUAUGGUAGAUCUUCAAUCUCCUUUGCAAUGUUCUUGAUUUCUCCAUGAUUUCUUGAUGAUUGCUUGGUUUUUGUCUCUUUUUUGCCCAAUUGAAUUCCUAUCCUAAUAUGAUCUAUAGGUUUGUAUUUAUAGUAUUUUGAAGUUUUGGACGAUUCAGGGUUUGAUUAGGUCAAGAUUUCAAAAUUACUUUUUCUCGCAUGGGCGCCCAAGAUGGGCAGUGCAGCACUACGAUACUAUUGACUUUCAGCAAGACAGGCACUGUAGCGCCCAAGAUGAGCACCUUUUGGGCUCUACAACGCUCAUUUCAGGUGAAAAAAUAGCACUUUGCAUUUUUUAGUAUUUUUAAGAUAAUUUAUUCUCCCGAUAUUCGAUAAGACAAUUUAAGAGGUGUUAGAAAGCUAACUCAAAAGGUUACAAUUUGUAUAAAAUAUUAUUUCAAUUCAAAUGUUUGUUAUGUCGAAAAUGGGUUCAAUGUGAGACUAAAAAUUCAAAGCAUAACUUUUUGUGUUGGAAAUUGAUGUAUGAUCAUACUUUGACUAUAUUUCAUCCUUUUGACUUUUUUCUUUAUUCAAUUGACUUCUAGC
RNAcentral lists this long non-coding RNA (1918 nucleotides) under Olea europaea (common olive). RNAcentral describes it as "long non-coding RNA (OEUR_LNC002425)". The record is from RNAcentral. Lineage: Eukaryota; Viridiplantae; Streptophyta; Magnoliopsida; Lamiales; Oleaceae.